This 650-nucleotide ribosomal RNA is filed under the name uncultured bacterium. RNAcentral describes it as "bacterial SSU rRNA". It matches the Rfam family "Bacterial small subunit ribosomal RNA", at positions 853 to 1504 of the family's 1533-position model. The record is from RNAcentral.
UAACGCGUUAAGUAUCCCGCCUGGGGAGUACGGUCGCAAGAUUAAAACUCAAAGAAAUUGACGGGGGCCCGCACAAGCGGUGGAGAAUGUGGUUUAAUUCGAUGCAACGCGAAAAACCUUACCUGGGUUUGGAAUCCCAUGAACGCCGGAGAGAUCCGGAAGACUCGAAAGAGACAUGGAGACAGGUGCUGCAUGGCUGUCGUCAGCUCGUGUCGUGAGAUGAUGGGUUAAGUCCCGCAACGAGCGCAACCCUUAUCUUUAGUUGCCAGCAUUCAGUUGGGCACUCUAGAGAGACUGCCAACGUUAAGUUGGAGGAAGGUGGGGAUGACGUCAAGUCCUCAUGGCCUUUAUAUCCAGGGCAACACACGUUCUACAAUGGUCGGUACAAAGCGUAGCUAAACUGCGAAGUGGAGCCAAUCGCAAAAAACCGAUCUAAGUUCAGAUUGGAGUCUGCAACUCGACUCCAUGAAGUUGGAAUCGCUAGUAAUCGCGGAUCAGCAUGCCGCGGUGAAUACGUUCCCGGGCCUUGUACACACCGCCCGUCACACCAUGAAAGCUUACUGUACCAGAAGUCAUCGUGCUAACCGCAAGGAGGUAGAUGCCUAAGGUAUGGUCAGUGAUUGGGGUGAAGUCGUAACAAGGUAGCCGUA